Molecule: long non-coding RNA, 1066 nt
Organism: Rosa rugosa (rugosa rose)
Lineage: Eukaryota; Viridiplantae; Streptophyta; Magnoliopsida; Rosales; Rosaceae
Exons: 3
Source: RefSeq, a predicted model, not a curated record
UUCUUUCUCUCUCUCGCUCGACCGAAACCGAAAACAGAGCAAAGGCUCUUCGGUCUCUCUCUACCUCCACCGGCCACCAAACGGCGUCGAACCACUUCCUUUUGCUUCGUCUCAGCCUUGCGCAGCUGCCAGAGGCAGCCUUGCACCGUGACACGGCCACCAGCGGCGGCGGGAAGCUCCGCCCGGUUUGAGCUCGUUUUGGAAACAAGCUUGAUAUCUCAAGCUACCGGUCACCAAUCCUCACCAAAAUCCAUCCACAAGCUCGACUCAACUUCCUGAAACUCCCAGAAGCAGCCUCACACGGCGGCGUGGCCCGUAGCAGUGGCUGCAAGUCAAACCCAACCAAGAACGAGACCGGAGCUAUCGAUCAAGAUAUCUCGAGCUGUAGUGCAUCGUUUUGAUUGAUUCUUUUUCCAGUGGGUUCCCCUUGAUGUUAUUAACAACUCUCUAGAAGGCAUCGAGGCCUGAAAUUGAAGCUUUGACGUCGAAAUCGAGCCUUGCCGGAUUCUGCAAAAUUCUGGAAUUUUUCCGACCACCGAAGCUUUCGAUCGGUAUAUCUCGAGCUACAGACCAUAUUUUUCUGUGAUUCUUGAACCAGUGAGUUCUUCUUGAGUUUCUUAACAACUCUUCAGAAGGAAUCGAAGCCUUAAAUUGACGUUUUUACGUCGAAUUGGAGCUCGCCGUUUUCUGCAGUUUCUCGCCGGUUUCUGGAAAAUUCCGGCCACCUUCAUACUGUUCAAGGUGACCGACGGUUUGAUUUGGCGGACGAUUCGUGAAAUUGUAUUUUGAGCUGUUAAGAAGACGCAGCAGGAAUUUAGAGCGGGUAAUCCUACAGGACAGGAGAACCAGGACGGUGAUCGUGCGGUUAGAGCAAUGGUUAUCGUUUUAUAGCAAUUGUAAUAGUGAGGCGAGUUAAGCUCAUUUGAGCAUUACAAUUUGAUUUGGUGGGAGUGUGCUGUAAUAAAUAACUUGAGGAUUUGGGUUAUUGUAAAUUUGAGAGUUGUGAAGUGUGGUUGUUUGUGAGAAAAAAAUUCAGGAUGUUAGUUGUAAUUUGUUAUUAUUCAUG